This is a long non-coding RNA of Engraulis encrasicolus (European anchovy), 1058 nucleotides long. RefSeq lists it as uncharacterized. NCBI's taxonomy places the organism in Eukaryota, Metazoa, Chordata, Actinopteri, Clupeiformes, Engraulidae. The record is from RefSeq and is a predicted model, not a curated record. The transcript has 6 exons.
AUCGAGGGAAGAACCCAGCACUGAAAUGACACAAAUGAAAGAAGAGUACUUCUGCUCUGCUGGGUCUGCGACACUACUUAUCCGAGGAGUCCUCAAACAUCAGGAUGUAGGAAGACACAAGUAAAAGGAGAAGAAUGCUGCUCAGCUGAGUCGGCGGUCACACUACUUAUUCAAGAAGCUCUUGGAUAUCAUCGGCAUGUGUGAAGCACAGUCAUUCCGGUAGGCACGGAGUCGUUCCUCGAUGGACGUGAUGACCUGGCACCAAAACCACUUAAUGUGUAUGAAGCUGUGUCUGCAUCGAGGGAAGAACCCAGCACUGAAAUGACACAAAUGAAAGAGGACGUCUUCUCUGCUGGGUCUGCGACACUACUUAUCCUAGGAAUCCUCAAACAUCAGGAUGUAGGAAACUUAUGGUGAGAUGCCAAGAACCGCCAUGAGGGAUAUGCAACCUGCAGCUUCACCAUGCUUUUGGGAGAUCAUGUACUACGUGAACCUUGAGUAUCUACAAGCCAGCUACUUUAAGUCCUUGAAAGGGUAGUGAUGUCAUUCAAGCCAGAUCACGAGACAAGGUCCUGUACAAACUGUCAAUCUAAGUGUUGCGACAUCCCUGUCAGUUCUUUUGGACUGAAUACAUGCUGUGUUUGAAAUGUAUUAUUCGGAUAACCUCCCAUCAGGGAAUACCUUGUCUGUUAAUGACGGAUGGACAUGCCAUUGACAUGCAGUGCACACUUUGAUGUUUUUUAUUGUAAUGUUUUCUAUGUUUUUCCGAUGUUCUUUUUUAUUUAUGUUCUGUUAUAUGCUGGUUAUGUAAGUACUGUAUGGAGUGUAGUGACUGUGGAGCCCAAGACAAAUUUCAACCUGGGGACAAAAAGUUCACUCCACUCUGUUAGCGCAGUUAUGGAUGCACUGUAAAUUUUGUAAUUAACCAAAAGUACGGUGAGAAGCCUGUUUGUGCAGAUGGACCUGCUGGCGGGCCUGUUUACUCAUAGCUAAAAAGCAACAUAUUCUCUGUGCAAAGCACAUGGGCUCUUUGCAAAGGGGUUAAACAUUUUCAUGUG